UAGCUCUGUUAUAUUUCAGAGACCAACAGCAAGUUUUCACUGAGAAGGCCAUGGAAUUGCUGAGCCCUCUUUCACUACUUUUAGUCAGUCUACACAACAAAAGUAAAAGUUGGAUUGAUGCCUUGGAGGACUGCCAGAAGGAUCAUUUCUCCCUGGUUGAGAUCUGCGAAAAGAAAGUAAGGGAUGAUGUGAAAAGACUGCUAAAUAAAACAGACUCAAAGAUGGGUGUGUGGAUUGGACUGCAAAGGUCCAUUUUUGGCUACAGUCCUGAGUGGAAGUGGAUUUCAGGGUAUGUUGUAAAAUCACAGUUGAAUAGA
Molecule: non-coding RNA, 317 nt
Organism: Neolamprologus brichardi
Lineage: Eukaryota; Metazoa; Chordata; Actinopteri; Cichliformes; Cichlidae
Source: RefSeq, a predicted model, not a curated record